UGGCUCUCGCAUCGAUGAAGAACGCAGCGAAAUGCGAUAAGUAAUGUGAAUUGCAGAAUUCAGUGAAUCAUCGAAUCUUUGAACGCACCUUGCACCCUGGGGUAUUCCCUAGGGUAUGUCUGUCUGAGUGUUAUUUGACCUCUCAAAGCCUCUUUCCUUUAACUGGGCAGGGGUGCUUUGGAUCAUGGGUGUUUGCGAGCCUCGGUUCGCUCACCUCAAAUUGAAUGUGGCAUUCUACUCUGAAGCCGCUGUCGGGUCUGACCUGGAGUGAUAGAAGUCUUUCGAGAUCUCUGGGAAACCGUCUCUUGACGGUACCUGCUGUGGUGGGAGGGAGUGUCUAACAGACUCAUCUGACGUUUUUGACCUCAGAUCAGACAGGACUACCCGCUGA
RNAcentral lists this unclassified non-coding RNA (391 nucleotides) under uncultured fungus. RNAcentral describes it as "partial contains 5.8S ribosomal RNA and internal transcribed spacer 2". The stretch from base 1 to 133 matches the Rfam family "5.8S ribosomal RNA", at positions 22 to 154 of the family's 154-position model. Lineage: Eukaryota; Fungi. The record is from RNAcentral.